GAUGAACGCUGGCGGCGUGCCUAACACAUGCAAGUCGAGCGGCAGCGAGGGGUGCUUGCACCCUGUCGGCGAGCGGCGGACGGCUGAGUAACGCGUGGGAACGUGCCCCAAAGUGAGGAAUAACUGCCCGAAAGGGUAGCUAAUACCGCAUAUUAUCUUCGGAUCAAAGGAUUUAUCCGCUUUAGGAGCGGCUCGCGUCGGAUUAGGUAGUUGGUGAGGUAAUGGCUCACCAAGCCGACGAUCCGUAGCUGGUCUGAGAGGAUGACCAGCCAGACUGGAACUGAGACACGGUCCAGACUCCUACGGGAGGCAGCAGUGAGGAAUCUUCCACAAUGGGCGAAAGCCUGAUGGAGCAACGCCGCGUGCAGGACGAAGGCCUUCGGGUUGUAAACUGCUUUUAUAAGUGAGGAAUAUGACGGUAACUUAUGAAUAAGGAUCGGCUAACUACGUG
This 451-nucleotide ribosomal RNA is filed under the name uncultured bacterium. RNAcentral's name for it is "partial 16S ribosomal RNA". It matches the Rfam family "Bacterial small subunit ribosomal RNA", at positions 28 to 507 of the family's 1533-position model. The record is from RNAcentral.